RNAcentral lists this long non-coding RNA (531 nucleotides) under Dromaius novaehollandiae (emu). RNAcentral describes it as "lncRNA (ENSDNVG00000013801.1)". Lineage: Eukaryota; Metazoa; Chordata; Aves; Casuariiformes; Dromaiidae. The record is from RNAcentral.
GCGGGCCCGUUUCAUCGCCUCCCAGGUGGGCAGCCCCUUCCCGCGGCCGGCCGCCCUCCCUCAAGCGUUCCCACGCCCGGCCGGGGCAGGCAGCGCCGCGGGUGCUGGGCCUGGGAGCGCCGGGCUGGGACCGGAGCAGGAGGGACCGGUGGCGUCCGGGAUGUGCGGCCGCGCUGCAGAGUCGGCCCUGYGGGGAGAGGUCGGCACCCGGAGGUGACGGCGGAACACCGCAGGGAACCUGUUUUUGGCUUGCUUGGAUGUAGCUCUGCUCCAGUGAGCUCUGCGUGGUGUGGUCAAACCUGCCCUYGUGAAACGGGAAGAGUGCUGCCGCGCUGGCUCUGCUGGGCGGUGGGAAGGCCAGUCCAGGAACAGCCACAGAGCAAGGCCUGGAUGGAGGAUGCUGGACAAGCCACAGCGGGGUUUCCCUGCAGGCGAAGAGUGUGACUGCUGCUGUCCCAGCUCAUCCGUGSUCCUGUCCAGGUGGGAUCACCUGCAGCGCACCGCAGCCGAGCGCCGGGGAAAAUGGUGGCA